GACGAACGCUGGCGGCGUGCUUAACACAUGCAAGUCGAACGGAAAGGCCCUGCGUUUGUUUGUUUCUCGAUUGGCGAACGGGUGAGUAACACGUGAGGAACCUGCCCUUGACUGUGUGAUAACUUCAGGAAACUGCGUCUAAUAUCGGAUAUGAUCUUCUGCUGCAUGUGGUUGAUUGGAAAGAGUCGGCGUUUGUGGAUGUACUCGAUGCUUAUCAGCUUGUUUGUGUGGUAGUGGCUUACCAAGGCUUUGAAGGGUAGCCGGCCUGAGAGCGUGACCGGCCACAAUGCGACUGCGAUAGGGACCAGAAUCCUACGGGCGGCAGCAGUGGGGAAUCUUGCAGAGUGGGCGGAAGUGUGAUGCAGAAACGCUGCGUGCGGGAUGACCGCUUUCGGGUUGUAAACAUCUUUCGAAUGUGACGAAGAGUGAGUGACGGUACUGGGUAAAGAAGCCCCGGCUAACUACGUG
RNAcentral lists this ribosomal RNA (468 nucleotides) under uncultured bacterium. Its description in RNAcentral is "partial 16S ribosomal RNA". It matches the Rfam family "Bacterial small subunit ribosomal RNA", at positions 28 to 507 of the family's 1533-position model. The record is from RNAcentral.